Plodia interpunctella (Indianmeal moth) is the source of this 6348-nucleotide long non-coding RNA. RefSeq lists it as uncharacterized. The transcript is spliced from 3 exons. Lineage: Eukaryota; Metazoa; Arthropoda; Insecta; Lepidoptera; Pyralidae. The record is from RefSeq and is a predicted model, not a curated record.
AUUACAAUAUAAGCCAACUUAAUUCUUAGACAGAGAUGUGGAUUAAAACAUUUUAUAUAAUUUUAACGAUUUUCAUUAUUCUAACAACCGUUACUGGCGAUGACACGGAAUGCGAGAACCUCGGAGGUGUGUGCGUGCCCCCCGACCAGCAGUGUCGUCCGUUAUACUAUGAUUGUGACGUCAACACUAAAUGCUGCGCUUUACGUGCUAUAGAUGUUAAGUCAUAAUGAGAAUGUGUAUGCAGCUGAGAGAGAGAGAGAGAAAGAGAGAGAGCUGAGUAUCUCUGUAUUCUAUACUAGCUCUUGACCGCGUCUUCGCCCACGAUAAUGUCGUGCGUCCGCUAAUAACGUAAUAAUAGGAUGGGACCUGGAGAAUCAAUCAUACUCGAAUUUAGGUUUCGCCUCGAUAUUAUGACAAGGUAUAUUAUGAUAAAGUAUUGACGACCUCGGUGGCGCAGUGGUAAAGUUCUUGCCACUGAACCUAGAGGUCCCGGGUUCGAUCCCCGGUCGGGUCAUGAUGGAAAAUGAUCUUUUUCUGAUUGGCCCGGGUCUUGGAUGUUUAUCUAUAUAUGUACAUGUUAUAAAAAUAUAGUAUCGUUGAGUUAGUAUCCCAUAACACAAGUCUCGAACUUACUUUGGGGCUAGCUCAAUCUGUGUGAUUUGUCCUAAUAUAUUUAUUUAUAUUUAUUUAUUUAUAUUUAUAUCUGGUAGUCGACUCAUUAAUAGCAUACAUGAAAAGUAAUUCGUCAUUACACCAUUUCUUAAUUAACUGGAUAUUGUACUAUUUUUAUUUAUUCAUGUGCACAAAAUAAUAAUGUUUACAUAUAGGAAACUAAGCACAAACUUAUUUUUCUAGUAUAUUUUUCAGUAUACACGAGAAAGAAAAAUGUAUAAUGUUACUAUGUAAUGUAACUAUGUAUUCUGAUAGGUAUAUACAUUCGUAAAUAAGAAAAUAAGUCAAGAUGGAUGGUUGAUUAUAUAACAACAUUGUACCAUAUACACGAAAUGGCAAUACAUUUUUCAAAUAUAUUUUCUUUAAUAAUAUUCAUACAAACCUUUGUAUCACAACGAACCGGGUGGAAAUGUUAAUUAAAAUGCUGUAAUCACGUAUGUAAUUAAAUAUUACGUAGUCGUUGGAUCAUGUUAGCAAUCUAUAUUUUUACAUCAAAGGUUUGAUCAAAAGGGGUAUUGCAGAUAUUUAUAAAUGAAGCCUUUAGAAAGAAGAUGAAUAGAAAGUAUUUCUGUAACACAAUGUGGUCGCAGUUGACUAAACGGAUUUUGGUGACCACCGUGGAUUGGAUUUAGUCAACUGUGAUCACAUUGUGUAAUGGUAAACUGUAACAAUAAUAGUUUCUAAAAAAUAUAUUUAUUUCGUGCGGUCAUAAUUUGUCGAGAGAAUUUUCAAAAAAACACACAAACGGACACGUUUAACGCACUCCAGAACCGCAGAUAAAUAUUUGUGAUCACAAAUACAUAUAAUAUUACAAUAUUUGCCCGCGCUGAGAAUCGAACAGCGGGCGUACGAGUAUUAACCACUACGCCACGAAGUUAGUUGUGUUUAUCUAUAUAUAUAAAACUCUUCCUGACUACCGUUACUGAGUGACUGACUGACUGACUGACAGACAACGUACAAAGGAAACUACUGGGCGUAGGAACCCGAAAUUUGGCAUGUAGAUUCCCUGGGGAAUGUAGGUGAGCACUAAGAGAGGAUUUUUGGAAAUUCUACCCCGAAUGGGGUGAAAGGGGUAAAAAACUUUCAUAUGAAAGUUCUACACUGUUGAAGUUAGUGGCUUGAAAAUUAGGAUUUUGGUUGUUAUAACAUAUUAAUGAAUACGUGUUUCAUUCGUGAUUUUUCUGAAAAUGAAUCCUCAACCCCUUCAAAAGGGGUGUGAAAGAUUGUAAGGAACUUAAUAAAAAUUUCAAAAUAAAAAGCUGUAAAUUUGUAAACAUACUCUACAUAUAUAUAUAUAUUUUAAUGACCAAGAUUUAUUAUGAAAGUCACGCGGGCGGAGCCGCGGGCAUAAGCUAAUUUAUUUAUAAAGUCACUCACUGUACUAACAGUUGCCCAAGGCGUGCAGUGAGCCAAAAAUAAACAUUGAUGAUUAUUAUUAUUAUUAUAUGAUAAAUAAUUUAUACAUAUUGUGUUACGCUUCAAUGGCUCUACGACGUAGCAACACGUCGUAGAGCCUCUACACGUGCUACAAGUUAAAGCAAUGAGCACUCCCAGAAUUCUCUAGAAAUCAAAAUACGAUAUAUUUACGAAAUUUUCACGAAAUUACUUUACGGUACUUGAUUAUUUUGAUAAAUUUAUAUAAUUCAUCAUUCAGUCGUAGUAAAUAGGUAUCAAAUGUAAUGUUCAUUCGUUUCCCUUUCGCAAAAUGCCUUUUUUCUAAAAUUUCUAAUUUUGCACAAAGGACAUUAUACAAAAAAGACAUUAUGCGACCAGAGGACAUUCUGAGAAAAGGACAACUUACGAAGCGAAGCGGUCGUAGUCUUAGCGUUUAUAAACAUAAAAUUUAAAACGUCAUGCCAGCCUACAGUAAAACUUUUCAACUGUAAUCGAUUCACCUUCAACAAUCAAUCUUUAUAUCGAAUGAAUUCGCUGUUCAAAACGACCCAAUACACUUUAUAUAAACGUUUGAAUUCGACGGCUUUCAAUAUUAAUUCCGUUUACAGAGAAUUGUCGAUCAAUUUCCAAACAUAGGUAUUAUUAUAAGUAUCGAUCUAUGAAUUCAAAUAGAGAUAUGAUUUUUUAAUUAACUUUUGUUCGUCCUUCUACUUUCAUUAGUUGAUGGAAUUCUAUCCACAUUAUAUAUAUUAUUUUUGUAAUUAAUGAUCUCAAAUCGGAACAACAUUGUUCCGAUUUUGAUCAAAUUUAGCACAGAACUAAACUACCUAAGCAACCUUCACAGUCAACCUUCUGGAGUAACAUAGGCUACAUUUUAUAGUAAAGAUAUAAAUAUAUUAAACAGAAUAAAGUAUAGAUAAAGUCACGAGCGGAGCGCUAGUAAUCAUUAAAUACCCGAAUAAAUGUAUGUUAUGGUCUGCAAAUGUUACAAAAAUGCAAUUAAAUGUACGCGCUGACGACAAAAAAGGGUUUAAUUUAAAUUAUACUGGUCGUCUGCAAUUAUCUGAAUAAAUCAGAUUUUAUUUUUUAUAAAAAAAAUUGCACCUUUUCACAAUAUAUGUCUACACAAUGUUACCCACGUGCACAAGUAAAAUUGGACAGGAAUUGAAUAGAAAAUAACUAAAAUAAGAUGGUACAAACUCGCACGUGCAGGCGAGACGGCCACGACACACACACCGGUUGAAUAGACUGCUGAGAUGAAACUAUUCAUAGGGCCCUUUCACAUCAAAGUUACAGAACUAGUGCUUAUAAAUAUAGACGGGGUUACUUCAACCCUACUACCUAUAUGGGUCAGUGGCUGUCCAUUUUGGCCGUCAUAUGAAUACACCCUUAUCUGUUGAAGGUUGAUAUUUUCGAUUAUAAUCACAUGUCAAAAAGUGUACUUAUAUGUUAAGAAGGGACGUGUGGUAUUCGACAAAAGGUUCGUUCGUGUCGUCACCUCGGAUUUUUGACUAAUACACGGGACGCGACUGCUGUACAUUUGGAAGUAACACUUUUUUAACCGAUCGUAUAACAAUUGGGUGUUUGGAACCUCAUUAUUCAAAUUUUGAUUGACACUAUGCGAAAAAGAGCGGUAUUCUUUGAUGGACUGAUAAAUGUGUAUAAAAAGUUUAGUAUAUAAAAUAUGACACUGUAACACACCAACGCCAAAUUACUUUAUAUUGUGUCAUUCAUUACAUAUUCGAUAAAAUUUAUAUAAAACCACAUGCUAUGUAUAAUUUUACGACGACCUCGGUGGCGCAGUGGUAAAGUUCUUGCCACUGAACCGAGAGGUCCCGGGUUCGAUCCCCGGUCGGGUCAUGAUAGAAAAUGAUCUUUUUCUGACCGGCCCGGGUCUUGGAUGUUUAUCUAUAUAUGUAUUUGUUAUAAAAUACAGUAUCCUUGAGUUAGUAUCCCAUAACACAAGUCUCGAACUUACUUUGGGGCUAGCUCAAUCGGUGUGAUUUGUCCUAAUAUAUUUAUUUAUAUUAUUUAAGUAUGAAGCGUAUAACACAAACGUCUGAUCUGACAGCCUUUUUGAUUAAAAAAUGUGGACCUUGGGCUCCAACGCUCAACGAAAGAAACAGGAAAAGCGCACAGAUGAAAGAAAAUUUAAACGUCAGAAAAUUUCGGUCGCAAGCAUUUUACAACAGAGAAAGAAAAGGGCAAAGGGCAAGUUGGCAUUUCAUAUCUCAAUAUAGAGUAGUUUCGAAGUGAGACGUAGGGGACCAAUCACAUUGCGGUGUGGUUGACGUUACGUUACAACGGCGCACUGUGAUUGGUUGGCUGCGUCUCACUGCGAAUCGACUCGAUGAUGAGAUGUAUAUAGCAAAGUCGCAAGAAAACGUGCAGAUUAGAGAGAGAAUAUAUAUAUAAAGAGAAUUUCGAGCACAGGCAUUAUUUUUGUUAAUAUUAUAAAUUCAUAUCCCGAGCUGCCAUAUUUAUAGCAUCUAUUAAGAUGACAGAAUACGAUAGUUUAAGGGUAGCUUACGUCUGCGAAUUUAAUCUCGCUGGCUUAAAGGCUCGACAAUAAGCCCUGUGGUAAGGAAAGAGGAUUAUUAUAAGGGGAGAUUUUAUUUUCAAAUGGUUGGAACUGAAUAUAUUUAGGCACAAUUCUUUGUUGUAAUAACUCUGGAAAGUACGUCAAAGUUUUACAAGCGUGUUUUAUGUAUGUUUACCACGAAAUCGUUACGUAUGGCAUAUCAAUGAUUUCUUGUAAUAAAUAGUUAUUAAACGGCAGGCAAAUAUUAAAGAAACACAUUGACUUUACGUUCCAUAUGUAGAGGUAGGUACCGAGUUUUUUAUAUUUUUAUGCGAUUAAUGGUUGCUAAUAUUGGUUAUUUUAAUUUCCUUUGAAAUAUGUUUAGAACUUAAAAUUGACCGAAUGUUUUAGUAACCCUAAAAUAUUAUAAAUGCGAAAGUUUGUGAGGACGGAUGCGCAAAAUACGCAAAAUCUACAGCACGAAUUGUUAUGAAAUUUGGUACGCGCGUAGAAUAUAACCUGGAAUAACACGCAGGGUACUUUUAUCCGGAAAUUCCAACGGGAGCGAAGCCACGGGGCGCUGCUAGUUUGUAUAUAUUUUUAUAUAAUAUUGUGCAAUAAAGUUUAAAAUAAAUGAAUUUGGGUAGCUUAAUACGGCGCUUCACGCCACCUUUUUUUGAAAUAUAUAUGUAUAGCAAAAACUAAAAAAAUGCUUCAGGAGAUAAUGCUGCUCUAGAUAAAGGAUUUAAUUAUAUAGUAUUGUAACGAUUGGGAUCGCUUAUUAAUUAAAAUAUAUUAUUAUUAGAUAAAAUUUAAUACUUUUUUAACACAUACGUAAUUCAGCUCUGGAUUCAUUGGAUAACAGAGAUCACAGGGGACCCGGGCCAAUCAGAAAAAGAUCAUUUUCCAUCAUGACCCGACCGAGGAUCAAACCCUCUAGGUUCAAAGGCAAGCACUUUACCACUGCGCCACCGAGGUCGUCAAUCUAGAGUUAUGUUAGCCGUUGUGUGUUGUGCUUACGUUUGUGAAUUUGGUUAUUUAGGAAGCUGAAACGAACUGUUCAGUUGUAAAAGCUAAAUAUAACAGUAACAACAGUAAACUAUUCUCAUUUAGUAACACUUGUUAACAAUUUGUACACGUGUUUACACCAAAACCACUUAUGCUAUUGAUAUCUAUACUAUUAUUAUAAAGAAGUAAGCGUUUGUGAGUUUGUGACUUUGUGAGUUUGUAUGUUUGAGGUAAUCUACGAAACUACCGAACCGAUUUCAAAAAUUCUUUCAGCAUUAGAAAGGUACAUUAUCCAAGAUUGCUAUAGGCUAUAUUUUCUCUCAAAUUCCCCACGAGAGCGUAGCUCCGGGCAACAUCCAGUUAAGUAUAAAAAGAGUCCUGACGCAUCUGUCUGUUUGUAUGAACGCGAUAAAUUCAAAAAUUACCAGACGGAUUUUUAUACAGUUUUCAACGAUAGAUAGUUUGAUUAGUGAGGAAGGUUUAAGUGCUUUAUUUAUAACGGUUUACGCCGAACGUAGCCGAAACCGGCCGCUAAGUAAACUAAAUUUGCAAUCCUACUAACAUUAUAAUUGUGAUGACGUAUGUGUGUAUGCUUGUUACUCGAAAUCUACUGAAUAUAUUGUUAUGAAAUUUGGUAUACAGGUAGAAUAUAACCUGGAAUAACACAUUGGGCAUUUUUUAUCAGGGAGCGCAGACCUGGGGGGCAGCAGUACAUAUCUAUACAUUAUUAUAAAGAGGAGUCCGAAUUAACG